This 240-nucleotide unclassified non-coding RNA is filed under the name soil metagenome. RNAcentral's name for it is "partial contains 5.8S ribosomal RNA, internal transcribed spacer 2, and large subunit ribosomal RNA". The record is from RNAcentral.
AACUGAUACUACCUGCGGGAACCUGCGGAGGGAUCAUUAGUGAGACUUAGCGCUCCAACCCUUGCGAACAUACCAUUGCGGCGUUGCUUCGGCGGGUUUGUUGGUGGAUGGUUUCUGUCCACCAGCAGCCCAGCCUGGCCAGCGGGGCCCCGCCGGCAGCGCCAAAAUUCUCAGUUUUUUAGUGGAACUCUUCUGAGUGGUAAAAAAGAAACAAGCAAAACUUUCAGCAAUGGAUCUCUA